ACUUAGCGGCGGACGGGUGAGUAACGCGUGGGUAGCCUGCCUUACACUGGGGGAUAACAGUUAGAAAUGACUGCUAAUACCGCAUAAGCGCACAGGGCCGCAUGGUCCGGUGUGAAAAACUCCGGUGGUGUAAGAUGGACCCGCGUCUGAUUAGGUAGUUGGUGGGGUAACGGCCCACCAAGCCGACGAUCAGUAGCCGACCUGAGAGGGUGACCGGCCACAUUGGGACUGAGACACGGCCCAA
Molecule: ribosomal RNA, 244 nt
Filed under: uncultured bacterium
Lineage: Bacteria
Description: partial 16S ribosomal RNA
Rfam family: Bacterial small subunit ribosomal RNA
Source: RNAcentral